This 425-nucleotide ribosomal RNA is filed under the name uncultured bacterium. Its description in RNAcentral is "partial 16S ribosomal RNA". It matches the Rfam family "Bacterial small subunit ribosomal RNA", at positions 354 to 796 of the family's 1533-position model. The record is from RNAcentral.
GUGGGGAAUCUUGCGCAAUGGGCGAAAGCCUGACGCAGCCAUGCCGCGUGGAUGAUGAAGGUCUUAGGAUUGUAAAAUCCUUUCACCGGUGAAGAUAAUGACUGUAGCCGGAGAAGAAGCCCCGGCUAACUUCGUGCCAGCAGCCGCGGUAAUACGAAGGGGGCUAGCGUUGCUCGGAUUUACUGGGCGUAAAGGGCGCGUAGGCGGACAUUUAAGUCAGGGGUGAAAUCCCGGGGCUCAACCUCGGAACUGCCUUUGAUACUGGGUGUCUUGAGUAUGAGAGAGGUGUGUGGAACUCCGAGUGUAGAGGUGAAAUUCGUAGAUAUUCGGAAGAACACCAGUGGCGAAGGCGACUCACUGGCUCAUUACUGACGCUGAGGCUCGAAAGCGUGGGGAGCAAACAGGAUUAGAUACCCCGGUAGUCC